RNAcentral lists this non-coding RNA (21 nucleotides) under Caenorhabditis elegans. The record is from RNAcentral. Lineage: Eukaryota; Metazoa; Nematoda; Chromadorea; Rhabditida; Rhabditidae.
UAAAUCUUCUUUUGAACGUGC